Molecule: ribosomal RNA, 1288 nt
Filed under: Bipolaris shoemakeri
Lineage: Eukaryota; Fungi; Ascomycota; Dothideomycetes; Pleosporales; Pleosporaceae
Description: eukaryotic LSU rRNA
Rfam family: Eukaryotic large subunit ribosomal RNA
Source: RNAcentral
CCGAGUUGUAAUUUGCAGAGGGCGCUUUGGCUUUGGCAGCGGUCCAAGUUCCUUGGAACAGGACGUCACAGAGGGUGAGAAUCCCGUACGUGGUCGCUAGCUAUUGCCGUGUAAAGCCCCUUCGACGAGUCGAGUUGUUUGGGAAUGCAGCUCUAAAUGGGAGGUAAAUUUCUUCUAAAGCUAAAUAUUGGCCAGAGACCGAUAGCGCACAAGUAGAGUGAUCGAAAGAUGAAAAGCACUUUGGAAAGAGAGUCAAACAGCACGUGAAAUUGUUGAAAGGGAAGCGCUUGCAGCCAGACUUGCUUGCAGUUGCUCAUCCGGGCUUUUGCCCGGUGCACUCUUCUGCAGGCAGGCCAGCAUCAGUUUGGGCGGUGGGAUAAAGGUCUCUGUCACGUACCUCUCUUCGGGGAGGCCUUAUAGGGGAGACGACAUACCACCAGCCUAGACUGAGGUCCGCGCAUCUGCUAGGAUGCUGGCGUAAUGGCUGUAAGCGGCCCGUCUUGAAACACGGACCAAGGAGUCUAACAUCUAUGCGAGUGUUUGGGUGUCAAGCCCGAGCGCGUAAUGAAAGUGAACGGAGGUGGGAACCCGCAAGGGUGCACCAUCGACCGAUCCUGAAGUUUACGGAAGGAUUUGAGUAAGAGCAUGGCUGUUGGGACCCGAAAGAUGGUGAACUAUGCUUGAAUAGGGUGAAGCCAGAGGAAACUCUGGUGGAGGCUCGCAGCGGUUCUGACGUGCAAAUCGAUCGUCAAAUUUGGGCAUAGGGGCGAAAGACUAAUCGAACUAUCUAGUAGCUGGUUCCUGCCGAAGUUUCCCUCAGGAUAGCAGUAACGUAUUCAGUUUUAUGAGGUAAAGCGAAUGAUUAGAGGCAUGGGGGUUGAAACAACCUUCACCUAUUCUCAAACUUUAAAUAUGUAAGAAGCCCUUUGUUACUUAAUUGAACGCGGGCAUUUGAAUGAAACGUUAUUAGUGGGCCAUUUUUGGUAAGCAGAACUGGCGAUGCGGGAUGAACCGAACGAGGGGUUACGGUGCCGGAGUACACGCUCAUCAGACACCACAAAAGGUGUUGGUUCAUCUAGACAGCAGGACGGUGGCCAUGGAAGUCGGAAUCCGCUAAGGAGUGUGUAACAACUCACCUGCCGAAUGAACUAGCCCUGAAAAUGGAUGGCGCUCAAGCGUGUCACCUAUACCCCUCCGCCGGGGCAAAAUUUACGCCCCGGCGAGUAGGCAGGCGUGGAGGCUCGUGACGAAGCCUUGGGGGUGACCCCAGGUCGAACGGCCUCUAGUG